UGGGGAAUAUUGCACAAUGGGCGCAAGCCUGAUGCAUCAACGCCGCGUGAACGAUGAAGGUCUUCGGAUCGUAAAGUUCUGUUGCAGGGGAAGAUAAUGACGGUACCCUGUGAGGAAGCCCCGGCUAACUACGUGCCAGCAGCCGCGGUAAUACGAAGGGGGCUAGCGUUAUCCGGUUUUACUGGGCGUAAAGGGUGCGUAGGUGGUCCUUCAAGUCGGUGGUUAAAGGCUACGGCUCAACCGUAGUAAGCCGCCGAAACUGGAGGACUUGAGUGCAGGAGAGGAAAGUGGAAGUCCCAGUGUAGCGGUGAAAUGCGUAGAUAUUGGGAGGAACACCAGUAGCGAAGGCGGCUUUCUGGACUGCAACUGACACUGAGGCACGAAAGCGUGGGUAGCAAACAGG
RNAcentral lists this ribosomal RNA (403 nucleotides) under Verrucomicrobiota bacterium. RNAcentral describes it as "Verrucomicrobia bacterium partial 16S ribosomal RNA". It matches the Rfam family "Bacterial small subunit ribosomal RNA", at positions 355 to 776 of the family's 1533-position model. Lineage: Bacteria; Pseudomonadati; Verrucomicrobiota. The record is from RNAcentral.